RNAcentral lists this transfer RNA (73 nucleotides) under Felis catus (domestic cat). It matches the Rfam family "tRNA". Rfam says of the family: Transfer RNA (tRNA) molecules are approximately 80 nucleotides in length. Their secondary structure includes four short double-helical elements and three loops (D, anti-codon, and T loops). Lineage: Eukaryota; Metazoa; Chordata; Mammalia; Carnivora; Felidae. RNAcentral also lists the same sequence under 4 other names. The record is from Rfam by way of RNAcentral.
ACCUGGCUGGCUCAGUUGGUAGAGCAUGUGACUCUUGAUCUCAGGGUUGUGAGUUCGAGCCCCACACUGGGUG